ACACGCAUCGAAGGGUGAGUGACCCCACAGCGACCCCAAAGAGACCCCAAAACGACCCCAAAGUGACCCCACAGCGACCCCACAGCAACCCCACAGUGACCCCAAAGCGACCCCACAGCGACCCCAAAAGAACCCCAAAGUGACCCCAAAGUGCCAUCAGUGGGACCCCAGAGACCCCAAUGGGACCCCAAUGGGACCCCAAAGUGACCCCAAAGUGCCAUCAUCAGUGGGACCCCAAAGAGACCCCAAUGGGACUCCAAAGAGACCCCAAAGGGACCCCAAAGCGACCCCAAAGGGACCCCAUGCGACCCCAAAGGGACCCCAUGUGACCCCAAAGCGACCCCAAAGGGACCCCAAUGUGACCCCAAAGCGCUCCCAAAGGGACCCCAAAGUGCCAUCAGUGGGACCCCAAAGGGACCCCAAAGUGACCCCAAAGUGCCAUCAAUGUGACCCCAAAGAGACCCCAAUGGGACCCCAAAGAGACCCCAAUGGGACCCCAAAGCGCUCCCAAAGGGACCCCAAAGGGACCCCAAAGCCCCCCCUUUCCCCAUACCCCCCCCGAC
RNAcentral lists this long non-coding RNA (563 nucleotides) under Gallus gallus (chicken). Its description in RNAcentral is "lncRNA (ENSGALG00010000456.1)". The record is from RNAcentral. Lineage: Eukaryota; Metazoa; Chordata; Aves; Galliformes; Phasianidae.